This 2313-nucleotide long non-coding RNA is filed under the name Homo sapiens (human). RNAcentral's name for it is "non-protein coding lnc-FTMT-3:1". Lineage: Eukaryota; Metazoa; Chordata; Mammalia; Primates; Hominidae. The record is from RNAcentral.
GACGAUCUGUGGACACAUACACUUUUCUCCAAAGACCUCCACUGAUUAUUUACAAGAAAGAUCGGCUCAGGGGAAAAGACCAGAGAGCUCACCUCUGUAGCAGAGGAAAGCCACGGAAAUAAUUUUCUAUUGACUGGAAACACACAAAACACAGCACACUUCUCUGAGCUCUUUGACUAUAUGAAGCAAAAGCCUUAACCCACUGGAAAAGAAAGGCAAACCUUCCAGCUCCUGGGCUACUUCACCCAGGUAAGAGGUAGGAAAUUAUAUUACCAGUCACCAGAUCCAGGCAAAGAUCCAAUGCUACCGUGGAAUGGUAGACAUAGAAGUCUUCUGUCCUUUGCGAGUGGGACUGAAAUAUCUCUUCUUCUAGGAUCUUGUACCAGUAUAAACAAGUUUGCUAGAGGUGUGGAGAGAGGAAGGUAACUUACUCUUGCCAAGCCUGUCACAGAUUGAAAGCAGAAAAUAGCUGCCAUGCAGUGCCAAGUGUCAGGAAUGACAAAAGAGCCUUCACAAUCCCCAAGUGCAUAAAACCUUCCUAAGAUUGUGGCUUGACGAUAACUGAGAACACUGUAAUAGAGAAGAUUCAUGAUUAUACUGAUAUAUAGAGAAAGAACAUUUGUCAACAUAUAACACUAUCUCAAGCUAAAAACAUCUCAACUAAGUGUAAUAGGAGGAUUCUAUCUUCUUCAAUCUAAUAUAGGACAUCUACUUAGAAAAAAAAUAAAUAACUAAAGCAAAAAUGUCAAAUGAUUCUCCAGGCCCCAACUCCAACAAAACAAAUCACGAAACAAAGAUAUCCUCUCCAGUGAUAUUUAUCCAGUAUUUAAAUUGGAGAACUUAACCAAUUUAUAUAUUUUUAUAUUUAUAACAUAAAUUUUAAAUUUAUAUUUAUAAGGCAAGAAAAGAUAAAUUAAAAAAAGAUUGAAAUGAAAGAAACAAAACCGUCUUUAUUCAUAGAUGAAAUGUUGAGAUUCCGAAGAACCUACAAUGUAGAAAUUAGAAAAAAUAGGUGAUUUUACUAGUAUCACAGGAUACAAGAGCAAAAUACAAAAAUAAAUUGACUCAAAAAUGUGUAAGGAAAAGCAAAUACAGGCAAACCUGAAAAAUAAAUAAAAUCAAAUUUGAGGAACAUUGCACUACCUGGUUCCAAGAUUUAUUCUAAAACCAGGAUAAUCAUGACAAUGUAGUAUUGAAAUAAACAUAGAUAUAUAAUCAAUGGAACAAAAUGUAGCAUCCAGAGGUGGACUCUCAUAUACAUGAUGUCAAGAUAAUAGGAUGAAGAAACAUAGUAAUUACAAAAAAUGAUUCUGGAACACUUCAAAAUUCAGCGCAAGCAAACAAACCUCAGCCAUUCCCAUACUGUGUGUGUAUAUAUAUAUAUAUAUAUAUAUAUAUAUGUAUGCAAAAAUCCAAUCAAAUUAGCUCGAAGGCCUAAAUGUAAAUAAAAACUAUAAAACUCCUAGGAAAAAUUAUAUUAGAAAAUUUUUGUAGCUUUUUUGGGGUUAGACAAAAAUAUCUUAGGUUGGAAAUCAAGAUCACAAAUGAAUUUUUAAAGUAUGAAUUAGACUUCAUUAAAAUGAAAAAUGUUUUUUUAAUUAAUAACAUUUUUACCAAAAUGAAAAGUUAAUCCAAUACUUGGAGAAAAUAUAUGGAGUACAUCUGAUAAAGGACAGACUAUCCAAACUGUAUGCCAAACUCUUACACUCAGUAAUAAAAACAGCCUAAUAAAUAAUGAGCAAAAACUUGAACACUUAACCAAAGAAGACAUUUUAAUGGCAAACAUGCACUCAAAAAGAUGCCCAAUGUCGUUAGUCAAUAUGUAAAUGCAAAUUAAACCUGAAGUAAAUACCACUACUACACAUCUACUAGAAUGGGAGGGGGAAGACGUCCUUAAUAAGUGUGGGACAAGGCAGAGAACAAGUGGAAUUCUCAUGCAUUGCCAACUGUAGGAUGCGAAAUGCCUUUUUAGAUGUUAGCUCCUAGUAGUAGGUUGUCAGACUUGUUGUUCACAUUUCUCCCAGAAAUAGAGGACUAGAAACCCUUCAAUUCUGAUGUUACAUAUAUUUUAUGACUUGUUUACAUAUUCAUUAUACAGAUUAUUAAAAAUAAUGAGAUUUAGAUUGGUAAUAAAUCAUUUGUAAUCUAUUGGAAAUGUAUUCUUCUUAUAUAUCUAUAUGUAACACAUAAUACUUGUUAUCUAUUAAAAUACAUUUAUUGGAAAUGGGUAUUUUGUUAUCUAUUUUAAUUAUCACAGUAUAGAUUUAUAAAACUACUCUAAUAUUUAAUAGUUAUGAGACUUAUAACUAUAGC